Phrynosoma platyrhinos (Desert horned lizard) is the source of this 72-nucleotide non-coding RNA. The record is from the annotation of a GenBank genome assembly. NCBI's taxonomy places the organism in Eukaryota, Metazoa, Chordata, Lepidosauria, Squamata, Phrynosomatidae.
GCUAGGGUAGUGUAGUGGUUUGAACAUUGGACUGCUACUCUGGAGACCAGGGUUCAAAUCCCCACUCAAGCA